AUUGAACGCUGGCGGCAUGCUUUACACAUGCAAGUCGAACGGUAACAGGUUAAGCUGACGAGUGGCGAACGGGUGAGUAAUGCAUCGGAACGUGCCCGAUCGUGGGGGAUAACGCAGCGAAAGCUGCGCUAAUACCGCAUACGAUCUGAGGAUGAAAGCGGGGGACCGUAAGGCCUCGCGCGAUCGGAGCGGCCGAUGUCAGAUUAGGUAGUUGGUGGGGUAAAGGCCCACCAAGCCGACGAUCUGUAGCUGGUCUGAGAGGACGACCAGCCACACUGGGACUGAGACACGGCCCAGACUCCUACGGGAGGCAGCAGUGGGGAAUUUUGGACAAUGGGCGCAAGCCUGAUCCAGCCAUUCCGCGUGCAGGAUGAAGGCCCUCGGGUUGUAAACUGCUUUUGUACAGAACGAAAAGGUUUCUACUAAUACUAGGAGCUCAUGACGGUACUGUAAGAAUAAGCAUCGGCUAACUACGUGCCAGCCGCCGCCGUAA
RNAcentral lists this ribosomal RNA (493 nucleotides) under uncultured bacterium. RNAcentral's name for it is "partial 16S ribosomal RNA". It matches the Rfam family "Bacterial small subunit ribosomal RNA", at positions 30 to 523 of the family's 1533-position model. The record is from RNAcentral.